CCUACGGGGGGCUGCAGUGAGGAAUAUUGGUCAAUGGACGCAAGUCUGAACCAGCCAUGCCGCGUGAGCGAAGAAGUAUUUCGGUAUGUAAAGCUCUAUCAGCAGGGAAGAAAAUGACGGUACCUGAGUAAGAAGCUCCGGCUAAAUACGUGCCAGCAGCCGCGGUAAUACGUAUGGAGCAAGCGUUAUCCGGAUUUACUGGGCGUAAAGGGAGCGUAGGCGGCCUGCCAAGUCUGAUGUGAAAUACCGGGGCUCAACCCCGGGGCUGCAUUGGAAACUGGCAGGCUGGAGUGCCGGAGAGGCAGGCGGAAUUCCUAGUGUAGCGGUGAAAUGCGUAGAUAUUAGGAGGAACACCAGUGGCGAAGGCGGCCUGCUGGACGGUGACUGACGCUGAGGCUCGAAAGCGUGGGGAGCAAACAGGAUUAGAUACCCCAGUAGUC
Molecule: ribosomal RNA, 440 nt
Filed under: uncultured bacterium
Lineage: Bacteria
Description: partial 16S ribosomal RNA
Rfam family: Bacterial small subunit ribosomal RNA
Source: RNAcentral